GGAUUGGUCAAUUAAAAGGUCCUAUAGUUUAAAAACCUGUAAUACUGAGUUAACAUACAUUAAAGACACAAACACAUCAGUGAAAGAUUAUCCAAUUUCUUCAGGAAUUUAACAUUUCAGCAGUUUUUACAACCAGAGGCUGUGCAAUGUUGUGCAAUCUUGAUUUGUAUUGUGAGUGACGACACAUCGACUUUUCCAAGUGUCUGGAGAGGUCGAAUGUGACAUUAACCCAUACAUAUCAAUGAUUUUACUUAUGGACCACCACAGAAGCUGCACCAAAGUGGAAUUAACUUUAGCAAAAUGCAUGAAGAUGUGACCUCUCUGCUGCUUCCUGUUUCUCCUGGUCCAGCUCCUGGAUCAUCUCUCUCAUCUUGGUGCAGAGCUCAGAGUUGGCAGCCUUCACCUUCUCUUCACUCUGCUUCAGCUCCUGAUUCCUCUUCUCCAGAGCCUGCCGUUCACAUUAGGGAUGCUCAACUAGUAUCCAACAACUAGCUAACUCAAUAGUAACUUCUUACUAGCAAUUAGAUCCAAGCCAGUGUUAUUUUAGUAUUAUAUACUAUUAUAGAAUUAGCUUUUGUUUUUCAUUUUAUUAUGUGCUUAUGUCAUUUUUAUUAGUUGCUUAUUUAUAGUUUAUUUGUAACUUUUUAAACUUCAGGUUUAGUUUUAAUAUUACUUCAACUUAAAAAUGCUGUUUUGAAAACUAACUGAAAUCAAACAAGUUUGUCUCCUAAUAUUUUUGUUUUGUUUUAUUUAAGCUUGAAAACUAACUGAAAUCAAACAAUUUGUCAUCUAAUAUUUUUGUUUUGUUUUAUUUAAGCUUUAUUUCAAUUAACAUGACACUGGUCUUUUACAUUUAGAGAUUUUUUAUUAUUAUCUUUUUUUAUCUAUCUAUUAUUUCAGCUUUAUUCCAUUUAAUGAAAAUGAUUUUGAAUAGUUAAAUUUUUAGUUAACAAAACCAGCACUAAUCCAGACACGACAGUCGUCUGACUCUGUGAUUGUGCAGUCACACUGACCUCCACUCUCUCCUGCAGCACCUGCCGCUCCUCCUGUAGUCUGACGAGGUCUUUGUGAGGGGCGGCAGUCAUGGGGGAUGUUUCCAGGUGUUUCUCCAAGCUGCUCUCCCUCACCUGUAGUAAACGCACAAGGUGUAAGUCUAACAUCUACUACAGCAGAGAGCACUGAUUUGCUGUAGGUCAGACCUUCGAGUCCUGUAUGGUUCGCUCAGCCUGCUCUAUCUGCGUCUGCAGCUGCUCUGUUCUGCUCUGAGAGCGUCGCAGCUCCUCCUGCAGCUCAGAGAUCUUCAGACGCUUGGUCUUCAGGUGACUCAGGCAGCGCUGCAACUCGCUCUUCAGCUCUCGCACCACGUCCUCCUUCAGCAGGGUCGAGUCUCCUGCUUCUGCAAUAUGAGGUGUGCUGGAAAACAAAGUAAUUAUGACAUUAUGAGAAGCUUGACAUUAUAGCAAUGCAGUUUGGACUGUUACUGUACAAUAGAACAUUACCUGUGGAUUCGUCCAUUUCUCCACUUGGACUUCUUGAUGCCCAGAUCCACGCAGGACUCAGACAGCUGGUUCUCCCAGUCUCCGUUGGAUUGCAGGGCUCCAUGUUUAAUAGCAGACUCAUACAGAUUUAUCUGCUCCUUCAGUUCAGUCAUCUCUUCCUGUUGAGACACGAAACAUGUAUGCUCUGUUUGUAGCCUGAUUAUGGACAGCUUUAAUAAGAUUAUAUAAUUUUUUUUAAUAUAAUGUUUUUGUAUAUUUUGUUGAAGUUAUAUAUAUGAAUUUCUUUUGAUGAUAUUCAAAUGUUUUUGCUAUAUGUUUUGAGAUGUUGUUCUGUAUCUUCGUGACAUUAGAUAUAUUAAGGUAAUACAUGACAUGUUUUAAUAAGCGCAGAUGUUGCUCGGUAACACAUGGCACUGAGGAAGGGUUAAACAUUAGUGGACUGACUGACCUGCAGGGCUUUGUUGAUGUCUUCACUGAUAACGCGGGCAGACUGAGCCUGCUGGAGCUUCAUCUGUAACUGACUCAUCUCUUGAACAGAGCCUGCAGAGAAUAAAAGAAGCUUUGAUAAAGAUGAUACAGGCAUGAGGGAGACAAAUCUUCAAUUCAUGUAUUAAAGGGGACAUUGAAAACAUUAAA
Molecule: long non-coding RNA, 2135 nt
Organism: Carassius carassius (crucian carp)
Lineage: Eukaryota; Metazoa; Chordata; Actinopteri; Cypriniformes; Cyprinidae
Exons: 2
Source: RefSeq, a predicted model, not a curated record